This 253-nucleotide ribosomal RNA is filed under the name uncultured bacterium. Its description in RNAcentral is "partial 16S ribosomal RNA". It matches the Rfam family "Bacterial small subunit ribosomal RNA", at positions 524 to 776 of the family's 1533-position model. The record is from RNAcentral.
UACGGAGGGUGCGAGCGUUGUCCGGAAUCACUGGGCGUAAAGCGCACGUAGGCGGGUUGUUAAGUCAGGGGUGAAAUCCCGGAGCUCAACUCCGGAACUGCCUUUGAUACUGGCAAUCUAGAGACUGGAAGAGGUUAGUGGAAUUCCCAGUGUAGAGGUGAAAUUCGUAGAUAUUGGGAAGAACACCAGUGGCGAAGGCGGCUAACUGGUCCAGUACUGACGCUGAGGUGCGAAAGCGUGGGGAGCAAACAGG